AGAAUCGAGGAGAGUACAAGAGAUUUUUCCUUUUUCUUUUCUGAUUUUUUUCCAGGAGAAUGCGAAGGAAGACUGGAAGAGAUGGAUGAUGAAUCGAUGGUUUGGAAGCAGAUUCAAGAGCAAAUCCCAAUCAAAAGGGGACAUCGACAGGUUAAAGUCAGCUGGCAGAUGAAACUGAUCGAAAUAAGGAGCAUUACAGGAAUAUAUCUCGCCAAGCAAGCGGUAAA
Molecule: non-coding RNA, 227 nt
Organism: Oryza sativa Japonica Group (Japanese rice)
Lineage: Eukaryota; Viridiplantae; Streptophyta; Magnoliopsida; Poales; Poaceae
Source: RefSeq, a predicted model, not a curated record